Molecule: ribosomal RNA, 660 nt
Filed under: uncultured Actinobacillus sp.
Lineage: Bacteria; Pseudomonadati; Pseudomonadota; Gammaproteobacteria; Pasteurellales; Pasteurellaceae
Description: bacterial SSU rRNA
Rfam family: Bacterial small subunit ribosomal RNA
Source: RNAcentral
CGGACGGGUGAGUAAUGCUUGGGAAUCUGGCUUAUGGAGGGGGAUAACUACGGGAAACUGUAGCUAAUACCGCGUAGUGUCGAGAGACGAAAGGGUGGGACCUUCGGGCCACCUGCCAUAAGAUGAGCCCAAGUGGGAUUAGGUAGUUGGUGGGGUAAAGGCCUACCAAGCCGACGAUCUCUAGCUGGUCUGAGAGGAUGACCAGCCACACUGGAACUGAGACACGGUCCAGACUCCUACGGGAGGCAGCAGUGGGGAAUAUUGCACAAUGGGGGGAACCCUGAUGCAGCCAUGCCGCGUGAAUGAAGAAGGCCUUCGGGUUGUAAAGUUCUUUCGGUGAUGAGGAAGGUGUUUGUUUUAAUAGAACAAGCAAUUGACGUUAGUCACAGAAGAAGCACCGGCUAACUCCGUGCCAGCAGCCGCGGUAAUACGGAGGGUGCGAGCGUUAAUCGGAAUGACUGGGCGUAAAGGGCACGCAGGCGGUGACUUAAGUGAGAUGUGAAGGCCCCGAGCUUAACUUGGGAAUUGCAUUUCAUACUGGGUCGCUAGAGUAUUUUAGGGAGGGGUAGAAUUCCACGUGUAGCGGUGAAAUGCGUAGAGAUGUGGAGGAAUACCGAAAGCGAAGGCAGCCCCUUGGGAAUAUACUGACGCUCAUGUGCG